This 105-nucleotide ribosomal RNA is filed under the name uncultured bacterium. Its description in RNAcentral is "partial 16S ribosomal RNA". It matches the Rfam family "Bacterial small subunit ribosomal RNA", at positions 411 to 508 of the family's 1533-position model. The record is from RNAcentral.
AAGGCCUUCGGGUUGUAAACCGCUUUUGUCAGGGAAGAAAAGCUCCGAACUAAUAUUUUGGGGUGAUGACGGUACCUGAAGAAUAAGCACCGGCUAACUACGUGC